Molecule: ribosomal RNA, 210 nt
Filed under: uncultured bacterium
Lineage: Bacteria
Description: partial 16S ribosomal RNA
Rfam family: Bacterial small subunit ribosomal RNA
Source: RNAcentral
GUUCAGAUUGCAGUCUGCAACUCGACUGCAUGAAGUCGGAAUCGCUAGUAAUCGCGGAUCAGCAUGCCGCGGUGAAUACGUUCCCGGGCCUUGUACACACCGCCCGUCACACCAUGGGAGUCGGAAAUGCCCGAAGUCUGUGACCUAACCGUAAGGAAGGAGCAGCCGAAGGCAGGUCGGAUGACUGGGGUGAAGUCGUAACAAGGUACC